AGAGUUUGAUCCUGGCUCAGGACGAACGCUGGCGGCGUGCCUAAUACAUGCAAGUCGAGCGAACCUUUAAAAGCUUGCUUUUAAAGGUUAGCGGCGGACGGGUGAGUAACACGUGGGCAACCUGCCUGUAAGACUGGGAUAACUUCGGGAAACCGGAGCUAAUACCGGAUAAUUCUUUUCUACACAUGUAGAAAAGCUGAAAGACGGCUUCGGCUGUCACUUACAGAUGGGCCCGCGGCGCAUUAGCUAGUUGGUGAGGUAACGGCUCACCAAGGCAACGAUGCGUAGCCGACCUGAGAGGGUGAUCGGCCACACUGGGACUGAGACACGGCCCAGACUCCUACGGGAGGCAGCAGUAGGGAAUCUUCCGCAAUGGACGAAAGUCUGACGGAGCAACGCCGCGUGAGUGAUGAAGGUUUUCGGAUCGUAAAACUCUGUUGUUAGGGAAGAACAAGUACGAGAGUAACUGCUCGUACCUUGACGGUACCUAACCAGAAAGCCACGGCUAACUACGUGCCAGCAGCCGCGGUAAUACGUAGGUGGCAAGCGUUGUCCGGAAUUAUUGGGCGUAAAGCGCGCGCAGGCGGUUCCUUAAGUCUGAUGUGAAAGCCCACGGCUCAACCGUGGAGGGUCAUUGGAAACUGGGGAACUUGAGUGCAGGAGAGAAGAGUGGAAUUCCACGUGUAGCGGUGAAAUGCGUAGAGAUGUGGAGGAACACCAGUGGCGAAGGCGACUCUUUGGCCUGUAACUGACGCUGAGGCGCGAAAGCGUGGGGAGCAAACAGGAUUAGAUACCCCGGUAGUCC
RNAcentral lists this ribosomal RNA (805 nucleotides) under uncultured bacterium. Its description in RNAcentral is "bacterial SSU rRNA". It matches the Rfam family "Bacterial small subunit ribosomal RNA", at positions 8 to 796 of the family's 1533-position model. The record is from RNAcentral.